This is a non-coding RNA of Tubulinosema ratisbonensis, 110 nucleotides long. NCBI's taxonomy places the organism in Eukaryota, Fungi, Microsporidia, Tubulinosematidae. The record is from the annotation of a GenBank genome assembly.
AUGCAGUUUACUGCACUAUUGAUUUGGAACAACACUGAGAAGAUUAGCAUCGCCCCUGCGCAAGGACGGCGCUUUCUUUGAGAGGUUGCCCACCAUGGUUUGAGCCAUGG